AACGAACGCUGGCGGCAUGCCUAACACAUGCAAGUCGAACGAGACCUUCGGGCUUAGUGGCGCACGGCGACUUACGGCCUGGUAACUAGCACUUGGGUUCGCUAUACCUCCCCUUGGGGUAAGCUAAUACCGCUGAGUGUCUUCGCGGCUAGGAGUUAUCGCGUUGGGGUGGGGCCGGGUUAGAUUCGCCGGUUGGUAGGGUAAAAGCAUACCAACGCGACGAUGCAUGGCUGGUCUGUUAGGAGGAUCAGGCAGACUGGGACUGAGACACGGCCCAGACUCCUACGGGAGGCAGCAGUGGAGAAUAUUGGGCGAUGGGCGAUGGCCUGAUCCAGCAAUGCCGCGGGAGUGAUGAAGGCCUUAGGAUUGUAAAGCUCUUUUAGCCGAGAUGAUAAUGACAGUACCGGGAGAAUAAGCACCGGCUAACUCCGUG
This 433-nucleotide ribosomal RNA is filed under the name uncultured bacterium. RNAcentral's name for it is "partial 16S ribosomal RNA". It matches the Rfam family "Bacterial small subunit ribosomal RNA", at positions 29 to 507 of the family's 1533-position model. The record is from RNAcentral.